CGCUCCUGUAAAUGACUAUUAUGAGUUAAAACAUUGGUCCAGGACAUGUUUAUGAGUUAAAAAAUAUUAUGAGUUUAAACUCAUAAUUUAUUGAAAAAAGUUCCAAAAUAAAACGUUGAUGAGCUUAGAGUUCAUGUUGAAAUAAAUUCAUAAUAUAUGGACUAAUAAAAUGUCCAUCGCUAUGGACGCGAUAUUUGAGUUGCUUCCCCUGCAACAAAUUGAUUUUCGCGCCUUUUUUUCAUUUCUCAAAUGCCCGGAUGUCAUGUGAUCUGCCAACGUGAUUUUGUCCGCCAUCCUGGAUCUCAGAAGGAGGAAUUUCAGAAUGGAUCACUUACGCUCUAAACGUAUUCUGGAUGAAUGGGUGUUUUCCAAAUUGAAGGGAAUUCCUGCAACUAUGCGAUGGCCUGUUCAGGUGCUAAAAACCAGUUCAGAUGGUACUAUAGAUGUUUUCUGCAAGUCAGAUUAUGCUGUAAAUUGUAGAGGACUUCCUUAAUGACAAUGGUGUGGACAGUUUGAGUUCCAGGAAAAAAUCCACAAACAGUUCCAGGAGAAGAUGGACCAAAGAUGAGGAAGAUGAAUUAAGACAAUACUUUCCUGCAUAUUUCAACAUAACUACCACUCGAUCUUGCCCAUCUCAAGGAGAAUGUAACGAAGCAAUAGCCUCAAGUCGUAUGAAUGGAGGGUCUCUACACAAGCGGGGAUGGGAAACGAUAAAAAAGGAAAUGAAAUUGGAUGAAAAAAAUAUAGUUAAAAAAUUGAAGAAUUCCAUCUAAAACUCUUCUUUGCAAGUUAUAUUUUGCUUUUUGUUUCCUUAUUCAUCAAUUGUUGGAAUGGACUUAUAAUUGACAUUGAACUGGAGGGCAGUAAGGCCAGUUUUUUUUCAAUAGACUUAUAUUUUUUUUUGAACCAGUUGUAUAAUAUUACGAAUAUUAGAUUCAGAAAAAUUAUUGCAUUUGGUCUUGGUAUGAAGAUGCAUGAAAAGUAAAUUGUGACCAAAGAGGAGUUUAGGUGAUACUAACAAUUUGAUGAAAAAAUGAAAUUACAAAUGAAAUUACAAACUAGAUCACCUGAGGUCAAAUGUAAGAAAUCCUUACAAGUUCACAAAUAUUUUACUUUGAUAAUCUUGCUUUAGACAAAAUUAUAUUUUCUUAUGAUGUGAAUUUAAAGCUCACCCGUGCUAAGCACAGGGUGAGCUGUUCUGAUUGGUCUUUGUCCGUCGUCCACAAUUUCUUUAAACAACAUCUACUUUACCACUGGACAGAUUUUCAUGAAACUUCACAGGAAUGAUCCUUGGGUGCUCCUCUUUUUACGUAAAUUGUUUCAGUCCAUUGCAUAAGUAGGGCACAGCAGCACAUAAAGGGUUUUAAAAGUACAAACUUUAAAAAUAUUCUCCUCUUAAAUUGUGAUAGCAUCAGCUUAGAUAUCUCUUAAAUUGUGAUAGCAUCAGCUUAGAUAUCUCUUAAAUUGUGAUAGCAUCAGCUUAGAUAUUGUGUAUUUAGCAUAGGCAAGGGGUUCUCAACAAAAGUUAUUUAUAGAUUUGGUUAAAAUUGGGCCCAUCCUCGGACCACUUGAUUACAUUGAUUUAUAUAGGAAUUUCUUUAAAUAACAACUUCUUUAAAUGUCAGUCAUUUCAACCUACUUGUCCUUGACAUUUUAUUUCCCUAUACCUCUUCAUAUUUAAGAGAGGGGUUUAAAGAACUGACCCUUUCCUGCAUUAUGCACAGGUGAGCGCUAUAGCAAUGAUCCUCUUGUUAUACUCUUCAAGCCUUGCAAAUGUUGCAGACUUUUAAGCUUAUAAUAGCUCCUGUUUCCAUAAUUUGGCUGUGUUGGACGACAGAAUGCAAAAAAAAAUAUAAAGAUUUGACAAGCAUUGACAGGUCUGGCAUAAUAUUAUGUCAAAUAUUGGUUGCUAUGUUAUGUAUUUACUUGUGAUUUAACUUAGGGGCUUGGUUAGUCUGUAUAACUUCUGAUAGUUACUGGCUAUAUUUUUUAAUGUUUAACUUUGCCACAACUUUGACGGCAAACACAUGGAAGUACACAUAUUUAGCUCUAGUUAUACAAAUAUUGACUUUUUAGCUGUUGUAUAAUAUACAAUUUUUGACUAGUGAGCCAAUGAAUAUGAUGUGGUACUCAUCGGCAUAUGACAUAUUGACCGAGGCGAUAGCCAAGGUCAAUAUGACUUUCUGCCAGUGAAUAUCACAUCAUAUUCAAUGGCUCACUAGUCAAUAAUUGUUUUAUUACAUGAAUAGGCUACGAAUUAAAAAAAUCACAAAAUGUACAACCUGAUAUACAUGUAUAAAUUUUUCCUUGUUGAAGUGGGGGGAAAAAAGAUGCACGUGUUAGGCUUGCAGCGACUACACAACGCUACGCAUACAAAAAUAAUUCAAGUUUACUUAUCGUUGCAGUGUUGCCUUUAUGUAUACCGUAAUAGUAAAGUAAUGAUAUCUUAUUCGAGAAAUAUGCCUUGAAGAGCAAAAAGCAACAAUUAUUUUUUAAUUAACACCAUAAUUAACAGUUUACGGUGUAUGAUCAUUGAAUAUGAGUCUCAAUCUAUUUUUAGACUGGGAAAAUCCAAUUCAGCCAGUAAAUAUGAUACUGCACCCAGUGAAUAUGAUUUUAUAAAAAGUUCUGUUGACUACUGUUUGGACCAAUGAGAUUGCAGCUAUAUUUGGAUCAUAUAAUAAUGUUAUUUAUUUCAUGCUUUUCUGUGUUUUUACUGUAAUAUAUCAGAUGAAAUUAUUCUAAUAAACCAAUAGUGAAAUUUAUAAAAUUUAAUUUUCACUGCAGCCGGACUAUAUCUGAAUGUGGAUGAAAAAAAUAUCAAAACUAAAUGGAAUAACAGGAAAAAUUUAAUGCCGUCAUACGUAAAUUUUGCUUCUUUAGGAAAAGAAAGUCCAUGCCAUCAUACAUAAAAAACUAACAAAAUUGGAGAAAAUUAACAGAACUAUAUUUCAAGCAUGGUGAUGUACCAUUUGGAUGCGAUGACAUCAUAAAGGAGAAUGCACGACAUUACACGGCAAAUUCAGUUAUCACUUAAAAAGCAUGAAAUAAACAAAAUUAAUUUGUUUUAUAUAUAAGGUUGAAAUAUUUUUCAUUCGUGAACACCAGCUUUUCUAUUUUCACUUGUGGCUACGCCACUCGUGAAAAUAUUGCAUCUGGUAUCCACUUGGUGAAAUUUAUUUCAAUCUUGCAAAACAAAAAUAUCCUCUUUGUAUUCUGUUGAGGUCCAUGAAUAGAGAGCUUUUAGUGUCUAUGUAUUAUGAGGCUAUAAGUUGUGUGUCUGUUGUGAGGCCAUUAGUGGUCCAUGUAUUAUGAGUUUCUGGCAAAUGAAUAUUAUGAGUUUAAAGUUUGGUUCAGGACAUGUUAAUGAGCUUAAAACCUAUUGUGUGUUGAAACUCUUAACCUAUUCAAAAAUAAAGCUAUGAUUAACAGAAAAUUGUGUUUGUUUUAACAAUUGAUGCAUUAUGAACAUCCAAAUUAGAGUUUGGGCACAUUCAAAGUAAUGCAUGUAGUUGAAUUACUGGUGUUACUCCUGAUCAAGUGGUCCAGCUGCAGCACUUGAUGCUUCAAAUGUUACUCUCGUGGAUUGGUUUGAGAUCUCUACUGUCGUACCUUAACUACCUAAUGUUUCAUGUAGGGCAUUUGUCAGUGACUGGUGGGGUUAUAUAUUCAGUACUUGAUACGGCACCCAGGGACUGCUGUUAUAUAGCCUACAUUGUGUUGAGUACAGGGUAAAACCACAUAUAAACCAUACCAAAUGAUUUGAUAAGUUUUUUAAGAAACAAAUAGAAAAAUUCAUUUUGUGGUUUGGCUCAUUAAAUUUUCAGGUUUAUAGGUAGCAUUUGACAUAAAAUGUAAUUAGCACAAGCACAAUGAUGGUAGUGCUGUUGCCACAAUAUUUUCUAGAAGAUUGAGGCUGAUUUUAUGUCAUUAGAAAAUUUGCUUUUCAUCAUCAGCCGGAUAGUCCCUUUGGACUUCACAUCAACCCUUAAAGUUUGGACUUCAUCUUAACCCAUAAUUGUUGAUUUUUAGAUCUCUUAUCAUAAGCCCGCAUGUUUGGACAUAAAUAUAGCUCAUAAAAUAAAAAGCUCACUAACACCAAAUGUUGGUCCGUCCGUCUGUCCGUCCGUCCGUCUGUCCGUCCGUCCGUCACACUUUCGUGACCGGUCUAUAACUUUGUCAUUUAUGAAAGGAAUUUGAAAUAACUUGGCACAAAUGUUUAUUAUAAUAAGACGAUGUGUCAUGCGCAACAACCAGACCCCUACCUCCAGGGUCAAGGUCGCACUUGCUCAUUCAAGGUCAACAUUGCCUAUUUGAGGGUAUAUGUCGUGUCCGGUCCAUAACUUUCUUAUCUAUGAAGGGAUUUUGUAAAUACUUGCCAUAAUUGUUCACAAUAAUCAGACAAUGUGUCAUGCGCAAAAACCAGUCACCUACCUUCAAGGUCAAGGUCACACUUGGAGGUCAAAUAUUAACAUAGUCUGUUACAGGAUAUAUUUCGUGUCCGGUCCAUAACUUUGUCAUUUAUCAAAGGAAUUUGAAAUAACUUGGCACAAAUGUUUGUUAUAAUAAGAGGAUGUGUCAUGCGCAACAACCAGAUCCGUACCUUCAGGGUCAAGGUCGUACUUGCUCAUUCAAGGUUAACAUUGUCUAUUUGAGGGUAUAUGUCAUGUCCGGUCCAUAUCUUUCUUAUCUAUGAAGGGAUUUUGUAAAUACUUGCCAUAAUUGUUCACAAUAAUCAGACGAUGUGUCAUGCGCAAAAAACGGUCACCUACCUCCAAGGUCAAGGUCACACUUGGAGGUCAAAUACUUACAUAGUCUGUUACAGGGUAUAUUUUGUGUCCGGUCCAUAACUUUUUCAUAGAUCCAAGGAUUUUGAAAAUACUUUGCACAAAAAGUCACUAUAAUAAGAGGAUGUGUCAUGCGCAACACCUGCAUCCCUACCUCCAAGGUCAAGGUCACACUUAGAGGUCAAAAAUUAACAUAGUCUGUUAUAGGGUAUAUUUUGUGUCAAAUCUAGAACUUCUUCAUAGUUCAAGAGAUUUUAAAAUAACUUGGCACAAAUAGUCACCAUAAUAAGACAAUAUGUAAGGUACAACACCUGCACCCCUACAUCCAAGGUCAAGGUCACACUUAGAGGUCAAAGGUUAACAGAGUCUGUUAUUUGGUAUAUUUUUUGUCCCGUCCAUUACUUCUUCAUAGAUUAAGAGAUUUUGAAAAUACUUGGGACAAAUAGUCACAAUGAUUAGAUGAUAUGUCAUACGUAACAUCUGUGUCCCUACCUCCAAGGUCAAGGUCACACUUAGAGAUCAAAGAUUUACAUAGUCUGUUAUUAUAAGGGUAUAUUUUGUGUCCAAUCUAUAACUUCUUCAUAGUUCAAGGGAUUUUGAAAAUACUUGGCACAAAUAGUCUCAAUAAUAAGACGUUAUGUCAUGCACAACACCUGCUCCCCUACCUCCAAGGUCAAGGUCACACUAAGAGGUCAAAUCUUAACAUGAUAGAUUUUUAAAUUCCGUGUUUCAUUUUAUUUUUUUAACAAAUUUAUUGUUACAUUUGCAGAUCUAGCAUUGAUCAUAAUUUUGGAGUAAAUGUCCUGAGAUCCAUUAUAACCUCAAUCUUUUGAAAUAGCACAAUUUUAUGCUUCAUAUAAAAUUUCCCGAGGCGGGGGACGUUGGUAACUCUGUUACAAAUUCUUGUUA
This is a long non-coding RNA of Ruditapes philippinarum (Manila clam), 5696 nucleotides long. RefSeq lists it as uncharacterized. The transcript is spliced from 4 exons. The record is from RefSeq and is a predicted model, not a curated record. NCBI's taxonomy places the organism in Eukaryota, Metazoa, Mollusca, Bivalvia, Venerida, Veneridae.